This 481-nucleotide long non-coding RNA is filed under the name Elaeis guineensis (African oil palm). RNAcentral's name for it is "long non-coding RNA (EGUI_LNC050210)". Lineage: Eukaryota; Viridiplantae; Streptophyta; Magnoliopsida; Arecales; Arecaceae. The record is from RNAcentral.
CUUUCGUGUCGCCCCAAAUCGAAAAGACCCCAGCACAUGCACAUUUAAUGCCAAAAUAUCUGGAGGCAGUUGUGCGCAGCAUUCGAGGGGACAAUUUCGGCUAUGCCAAUCUCUCUGUACUUCCUUCAUUCGAAAUUCAAACUCGAAAGUAGGGGGACUGGUGUUGGGUAUAAAAUACCCACGGUCGAAGUUCUCAGCGGGAUUGACCCUUGCGGGCUCCAUCCACGACUCCAAGGAAGACUCUGCCCGAACUCCUACGGGAGCCGGGCUCCAUCCACGACUCCAAGGAAGACUCCGCCCGGACUCCUACGGGAGCCGGGCUCCAUCCACGACUCCAAGAGAGACUUUGCCCGGACUCCUACGAGAGCCGGGCUCCGUCGCCAACUUCAACUGCCGGUAAGCUCCAUCCGGACUCCUACGGGAGCCGAACUUCGCACCUGACUUUAAUUGCAGGAGGAUUCCGCCCGGACUCCUACGGGAG